This 490-nucleotide ribosomal RNA is filed under the name uncultured bacterium. RNAcentral describes it as "partial 16S ribosomal RNA". It matches the Rfam family "Bacterial small subunit ribosomal RNA", at positions 28 to 507 of the family's 1533-position model. The record is from RNAcentral.
GAUGAACGCUAGCUACAGGCUUAACACAUGCAAGUCGCGGGGCAGCAUGGGGGUUGCUUGCAAUCCCCGAUGGCGACCGGCGCACGGGUGAGUAACGCGUAUCCAACCUGCCCUUCACCACGGGAUAACCCGGCGAAAGUCGGACUAAUACCGUAUGGUGUCCAUUGACGGCAUCCGAUUUGGACGAAAGGUUUGGCGGUGAAGGAUGGGGAUGCGUCCGAUUAGCUGGACGGCGGGGUGACGGCCCACCGUGGCGACGAUCGGGAGGGGUUCUGAGAGGAAGGUCCCCCACACUGGAGCUGAGACACGGACCAGACUCCGACGGGAGGCAGCAGUGAGGAAUAUUGGUCAAGGAGCGUAAGCCUGAACCAGCCAAGUAGCGUGCAGGAUGACGGCCCCAUGGGUUGUAAACUGCUUUUAUGCGGGGAUAAAGUGGCCCACGUGUGGGUUUUUGCAGGUACCGAAUGAAUAAGGACCGGCUAAUUCCGUG